UCCCCGAUAGUCUAGUGGUGAGGAUAUCUGCUUGUCAUCGUGGAAACACAACUCGCAGGGGACCGGGGUUCAAUUCCCCGUCGAGGAG
Molecule: transfer RNA, 88 nt
Filed under: Colletotrichum higginsianum
Lineage: Eukaryota; Fungi; Ascomycota; Sordariomycetes; Glomerellales; Glomerellaceae
Also listed under: 1 other name
Description: tRNA CH063_16480
Rfam family: tRNA
About the family: Transfer RNA (tRNA) molecules are approximately 80 nucleotides in length. Their secondary structure includes four short double-helical elements and three loops (D, anti-codon, and T loops). Further hydrogen bonds mediate the characteristic L-shaped molecular structure. tRNAs have two regions of fundamental functional importance: the anti-codon, which is responsible for specific mRNA codon recognition, and the 3' end, to which the tRNAs corresponding amino acid is attached (by aminoacyl-tRNA synthetases). tRNAs cope with the degeneracy of the genetic code in two manners: having more than one tRNA (with a specific anti-codon) for a particular amino acid; and 'wobble' base-pairing, i.e. permitting non-standard base-pairing at the 3rd anti-codon position.
Source: Rfam by way of RNAcentral